UGCUCCCAGCCAAGGUGCACUUGCAUCAUGGCUUUAAGCUUUUUCUUCUGCAACCAUGAGGCCUAGACACUUAUUUUUUAAGAAGAGCAGCUGCUGAGCUGUCUCUAGGAGUUGAGGCUUUAAGUGAAACAGUCAAAUAUCAUGAGACAAAACCAUGAGAGUUGGCACUUCUGGUAGUCUUUACAUGUUUGUCCUUUGCUUCCUGAAACAUUGAGGGGCUUCCUUGCUGUACAUCUUCUCCAGCUGAAGGUAGUGCAGCAAUUGCUGGGGGUUGCCCCUGCUCCUGGAAUUAUUUUAUAACCCAAGCCACAAAGAGGCAGUAGAGAACAUAGUAUGUCUGGAGAAGAACAUUGCUGCAGCCAUCACUGAUGGAUGUGCAGCCACCUCUCUAAAGGAAGAAUACAGUCCCUUGAAAGGCCAUACCACAGUGAUUUGGUAGUUAAUAUACAAGACUAUGAGAUAGGAGGUUUUGAUUCUAUUCCUGGCCUGCCACUUGGCAAGUCCCAUUUCUCUGUGUCUCAGGCCUGGAGUACACUAUAAAGUUAGGUCAAUGUCAUCAUUGGCAAUCCCUCGAUUCAAUGAUGAUCUCUACCACAGAUUUACAUAUGGGUCCUGAGGUUACUCAGGAGUCGGAUCCUGGAACCACAGAUCUGCCCGCAGUAGGUAGAGACAUUUCCUGGUGGGUCAGCUGCCUGCUUGGAGAAACUUCUCUCUCAUUUCUGCUUCGAGGGCAAGGCACUUCUCCUCAAAGCGAGCUACUGCCUGAUGGAGAUGUGGCACCAUUGAGGUCAUUGGUGGCUUGCUCUUCCUGGCUUGUGAUGUCAACAUCAGUUGUCUUGAGAUACGCUUUCAGUGUGUCUUUGUAGUGUUUCCUCUGACCGCCACAGGAUCUCUGACCAUGGUCGAGCUGAGAGUAGAGGACUUGUUUUGGGAGGUGGGAGUCUGGGAUCCGCACACAAUGUCCAGCCCUGCUGAGUUGGUGCAUGAGGAUGCUGGUGACAUUGGCUUCUGUGUCCUGAAUGCUGGCAUUAGUACAGCGAUCUUUCCACUUGGUGCGAAGGAUCUUCCAGAGGCAUCGUUGAUGGUACCUCUCCAGACUCUUGAGGUGCUGUUGAUAGGUCACCCAGGUUUCGCAUCCAUAAAGGAGUGUAGGAAUAACAGUUGCCUUCUAGACCUGCAUCUUGGUGUCCUGCCGUAGGUCACGGUCCGUGAAAAGGUGUCAGAGCAAUUUCCCAAAGGAUGCACUUGCACACUGGGUCCUGUGCUGGAUUUCACUGUCUAUUUUUGCAUUUUGAGAAAGUUGGCUACCAAGAUAACAGAAGUGCUCACUCGACUGUCUCCAAAGUCUGUCCCUUGAUGGUGAUUAGUGUCCAGCCCAUCCCUGCAGUCAAGCACGGGCAAGGCCAAUGCAGGGGAAGGAAGUCAGCCCUGAGGUAUUCCCACUCCACACCAGCAGAAUGACUGAUCCAGAUAAGGAGGAGGAAAAAGUGGAUGUGGGAGGACAUGUUUUGCGAGAUCCUGCAAGCCAGUGCUGUAUUAGAUCUUGAACGUAGGGCCUGGAGGGUGAGUAUUACAGAUUGUAUGAAGAAUGAAAGAGCAGACAGGAAAAAGGUUUGAGUACUUAUCUAGGCAGUGAAAGACCCAAGUUCAAGUCCCUGCUCCAGUGACUAUUUAUGCAAAGUGGAACAGCUUCAAUAGGAGAGACUCAGAAUACCCUACACCAGACUAGUCGAUGGUCAUGGGGUAGGGCGCUAACAUAAGAAUGGCCAUACUGGGUCAAACCCAUGGUCCAUCUAGCCCAGUAUCCUGUCUUUCAACAGAGGCCAAUGCCAGAUGCUUCAGAGGGAAUGAACAGAACAGGCAGUCAAGUGAGACACCCUAUCAUCCGCUCCCAGCUUCUUACAAACAGAAGCUAGGGACACUCAACAAGCAUGGGCUUGCACUAAUAGCCAUUGGUGAACCUAUCCUCCAUGAACAUAUCUAGUUCUUUUUUGAAUCCUGUUAUGGUUUUGGCCUUCACAACAUCCCUGGCAAUGAGUUCCAUGGGUUGACUGCAUGUUGUGUGAAGAAGUACUUCUUUAUGUUUGUUUUAAACCUUUAGUUUGUUUGCAUUCUCCUGCAAUGUGGGAGACGUAAAUUCAAAUCCCUUCUCCACAUGAGGCAAAGUAGGGAACUGAACCCAGGUCUUCCACCCACAUCCGAAGUGGUGCCUUAAUCAUUGGGUUAAAGGUUAUAAGAGGAUGGCACAACCUCUUCUGCCUGUUUCGUGACUCCCUCCCAAAAAAAUCAACGUUUCACUAAUAUCAAAAUGAGACAUUUCAUUUUGAUAUUGCCAAAAACAUUUUGAUUUUCCAGUUAGGUUGAAACUACUCUGCAAACUGCACAAAUUCACUAAUAAUUUUGGGUAGACCUAAAACUGAAUUUUUUGGCAAAUAAACUAUUAGUUAAAAAAAUUCAUCCUUCUCUAAUUUUGAGAUCUGUCAAUCAGCCAGUUUAAUUCAUUUUAUACAUUCCCUGCUUAUUCCAUAUGAUGCAAGUAAAAAUGUAAUGUUGUAUUAAGUCAAAUGCCUUGGAGAAAUCCAAGUAUACUAUGCCAACAUAGUGGCAUUUAUUAACCAGACUUGUAAUCUUGUCAAAAAGAAGUCAGUUGGUUUGUCUGACAAGAUCUACCUUCCAUGAAAUCAUGCUCCUUGGCAUUAUUUUAUUUGUUAAUAAAGUCCCAAUUUAACCAUUACAUUAUCUUACCUGAGACUGAUGUCAGGCUAACUUGUCUAUUUUUCCUGAUCAUCCCUUUUACCCAUUUAAAAUAUUGGAACUAUGUUGGGAGUCCUUCGACCCUUUGGAAUUUCCCCAGUUUUCCAAGAUUUGUUAAAAUCUAACAUUAGUGGUUUAGAGAGCUCCUCAGCUAGUUCCUUUAAGACUCUUGGGUGUAAGUUAUCUAGAUCUAUUGAUAUUUAAUUUUAGCAGAAGAUGCUUCGCAUCUUCCUUUGUUACAGAUGGUAAACUAUCUAUUCCAUCCACAUCAUAUGGUAUGGAUAUAUCAUCCUGCUUCCUUUCAAAUGUCUGUUAAACAUUUCUGCCUUUUCUGCAUCACUAUUUACAAUUUUACUAUCGCAUGUAGCAAUGGACCUAUACUGAUCAAGGACAUUUUGUUGUUUUUGUUCCUAAUAUGAUUAAAAUGCCUUAUUAUUGUGUGUAGCCCUAUUGAGCAUUGAUAUUUCAUUUACCACUUCUCCUACUUUCAUUUUUUUAACUAUUGUAACUGUAUUCUUAAA
Molecule: long non-coding RNA, 3275 nt
Organism: Mauremys reevesii (Reeves's turtle)
Lineage: Eukaryota; Metazoa; Chordata; Testudines; Geoemydidae
Exons: 3
Source: RefSeq, a predicted model, not a curated record